UGAACAGCAGUAAGGAAGUGU
This 21-nucleotide unclassified non-coding RNA is filed under the name Mus musculus (house mouse). RNAcentral's name for it is "oocyte_clustered_small_RNA7007". The record is from RNAcentral. Lineage: Eukaryota; Metazoa; Chordata; Mammalia; Rodentia; Muridae.